Long non-coding RNA from Bubalus bubalis (water buffalo), 173 nucleotides. RefSeq lists it as uncharacterized. The transcript has 2 exons. The record is from RefSeq and is a predicted model, not a curated record. NCBI's taxonomy places the organism in Eukaryota, Metazoa, Chordata, Mammalia, Artiodactyla, Bovidae.
UGACUCUUUAGGACCCCAUGGACUGCAGCCCACCAGGUUCCCCUGUCCCUGGGAUUCUCCAGGGCCCCCGGUUCGAUUCCUGGUCAGGAAUCUAAACAUCCUGCAUCCUGCAAUGAAGACUAAAGACCUCUUGUGCUGCAACUAAGACCUGGCGUGGCCAAAUAAAUAAAUGU